GGCAGUGUGGUGCAACGGUAAGGGAACUGGCAUUGUAACCUGAAGGUCACAGGUUCGAUUCCUGUGUUAGACACUGCCG
Molecule: transfer RNA, 79 nt
Filed under: Anguilla anguilla (European eel)
Lineage: Eukaryota; Metazoa; Chordata; Actinopteri; Anguilliformes; Anguillidae
Description: tRNA-OTHER
Source: RNAcentral